Molecule: long non-coding RNA, 993 nt
Filed under: Camelus dromedarius (Arabian camel)
Lineage: Eukaryota; Metazoa; Chordata; Mammalia; Artiodactyla; Camelidae
Description: lncRNA (ENSCDRG00005016751.1)
Source: RNAcentral
GUUUUAAUUAGCAUUAUUUUCUUUGAUGAUUUUUGAUUACCCUUACAGCCCCUAAGCACUUUGGCAGGGAUACGGUGGGGAAAGUUACCGUAAAUCAAAUUAUGAAUUUUAUUGCUCUAAUUGGAGUAGAAAUCCACAGCAUCAAUUAAAUUCUCAUUUCUUAUUCCCCUGGCUCAUGAUCCUCAUUCUAGGUGUGUAUAAAAUCUCAGUGUGGUACAAUGAUGUAAUUCCUUAAGCAGCAGUGCCCUGGUACAUUAAUAACAUCCUGGUUAGGAGAAGCAGGAGUGUAAAACCAUACUGGGAACAGCACCUCCGGGCAUUGUGAGAACCUAAACUAUGUCUUUUUCCUUCUUGUCUUUCCACAUCACCUAGCUCAGGCCAAGGAACACAGAAGGAGUUUAAGUGGUUCCUAUGGAGACACUGAUGCUUGAUCUCCCUUGUUAUCUCCAAAUUCAGUUGCUCAUGGUCUGUCACAACUUGGCAGAACUGAGAGAGGAUGACCCGCAGAGGAGCCUUGCGUGAGCCGUGCUAUAGAUGACAAGACCCCAUCUGCUCGUGAGCCUGAUCUACUGCCUCACCCAAGGGUCAGAAACAAAGCAGAUGCUGGACACAGUGGUCAAUUUCAGAUUUCAGAAGCUACAAUCAUGGUCAUUUAAGAAGUAGGAUCCAGUGUAUUACUAUUACCGAUGGGUGGCUGCAUAGAAGUUUACAGGCCUGGGAAAAGCCAGGUGGGUACCCGGAGCCCAUCAUUUUAUUUUUUCAAAGAGAAUCAAUACAAGGGAGUAUUACCAAGUUGGCCACCGCUAUAGGAGAGUUAACAAAAGCCAACCUACUCUCCAGUCCUGUAAGUAUUAUUCCCUGUGUGCCAUUCAAUUGCUACAGCCGCAAUAUAAUCCAGUAUCUCACUUCCAAUCAAUGUCCUAUCUGAAUACAUCACAAGUUAAAAACAACAAUAACUACUAAUUGUGAUCCUACUGCAUGCCAUGAGGUCCU